Non-coding RNA from Gossypium arboreum, 107 nucleotides. Lineage: Eukaryota; Viridiplantae; Streptophyta; Magnoliopsida; Malvales; Malvaceae. The record is from Rfam.
AAAUCAUGGUGAGGGCACCUUCUCAAUAGGUCCUUGUAUCUGUCCCAUGCAUCAUAAAGUGUUUCUAAAUCCAUCUACACAAAAUAAGAAAUAUCAUUCCUUAAUUU